Long non-coding RNA from Ornithodoros turicata, 724 nucleotides. RefSeq lists it as uncharacterized. The transcript is spliced from 4 exons. NCBI's taxonomy places the organism in Eukaryota, Metazoa, Arthropoda, Arachnida, Ixodida, Argasidae. The record is from RefSeq and is a predicted model, not a curated record.
UGCCGAGCAAGUGUUUAGAGACAAAGUGAACACACGUUCUACAAGUACAGGACUGCAGACACUGGUGCUGACCUCUUUUCAGCUUUUUAUAGAGAAGCACCACCAUGUAACAACACAGGUGCAUCACUUCCUUGACAGUCCAGAACAUCUUAUAACAACAACAAAGGUUCUCACUAAGGAGUACCUCACGCUACGGCUGAGAGAGUCAUCUCGACGGACAAGUGAGCAAGCCCAGGGAUCCUAUGCAUGCCGAAACUGAGGGGCAGACGGGUUAUUGUUCCAGCCACCUCGUUGGCGGAUGCAGCAGAAGAAUAGCUCCAAGUGGUCUUGGCUGAGUCGGCGGCAGCAAGCACGUCAACGGAAUCAACUGGAUGUGAUGCGGAGGUCAUGGCUGAAGCAAGUGCUGGGGACCCACUUCACGGCGCCUCACAAGGGGGUUGUUAUCCCCUGAUUCCAGGAAGAGGAAAACAAAGGACACACACUUGCAUAGCGUAUUAGUACCCCAGAUAUGGAUCUGCCAACAGGAACCCUCCUAACAUCCCUGUGGCAGCAUACCUGUAACCAUCCAGACUUCACACCACAUUAAUUUAGAAUCACAGCACAACAUAAUAAAAUAGCUUAGGUUUAUUUGCCUGCCAUACAUAAUGGGAGGCAAAUAAACCUAAGCUAUUUUGUUAUUCCCACUCCGUCAUACUCCACUGUACAAUAAAUUGAUACAAUUAUA